GAUGAAGAACGUAGCGAAAUGCGAUAAGUAAUGUGAAUUGCAGAAUUCAGUGAAUCAUCGAAUCUUUGAACGCACAUUGCGCCCGCCAGUAUUCUGGCGGGCAUGCCUGUUCGAGCGUCAUUUCAACCAUCAAGCCCCAGGCUUGUGUUGGGGACCUGCGGCUGCCGCAGGCCCUGAAAACCAGUGGCGGGCUCGCUGUCACACCGGGCGUAGUAGAUUUUAUCUCGCUCAGGGCNNNNNGCGGGUUCCGGCCGUUAAAAAGCCUUUUUUACCCAAGGUUGACCUCGGAUCAGGUAGGAAGACUCGCUGAACUUAAGCAUAUCAAUAAGCGGAGGA
Molecule: unclassified non-coding RNA, 336 nt
Filed under: soil metagenome
Description: partial contains 5.8S ribosomal RNA, internal transcribed spacer 2, and large subunit ribosomal RNA
Rfam family: 5.8S ribosomal RNA (bases 1-120)
Source: RNAcentral